This 528-nucleotide ribosomal RNA is filed under the name Colletotrichum fragariae. Its description in RNAcentral is "eukaryotic LSU rRNA". The stretch from base 177 to 330 matches the Rfam family "5.8S ribosomal RNA". The record is from RNAcentral. Lineage: Eukaryota; Fungi; Ascomycota; Sordariomycetes; Glomerellales; Glomerellaceae.
UACUGAGUUUACGCUCUACAACCCUUUGUGAACAUACCUACAACUGUUGCUUCGGCGGGUAGGGUCCCCGUGACCCUCCCGGCCUCCCGCCCCCCCGGGCGGGUCGGCGCCCGCCGGAGGAUAACCAAACUCUGAUUUAACGACGUUUCUUCUGAGUGGUACAAGCAAAUAAUCAAAACUUUUAACAACGGAUCUCUUGGUUCUGGCAUCGAUGAAGAACGCAGCGAAAUGCGAUAAGUAAUGUGAAUUGCAGAAUUCAGUGAAUCAUCGAAUCUUUGAACGCACAUUGCGCCCGCCAGCAUUCUGGCGGGCAUGCCUGUUCGAGCGUCAUUUCAACCCUCAAGCUCUGCUUGGUGUUGGGGCCCUACAGCUGAUGUAGGCCCUCAAAGGUAGUGGCGGACCCUCCCGGAGCCUCCUUUGCGUAGUAACUUUACGUCUCGCACUGGGAUCCGGAGGGACUCUUGCCGUAAAACCCCCCAAUUUUCCAAAGGUUGACCUCGGAUCAGGUAGGAAUACCCGCUGAACUUA